RNAcentral lists this long non-coding RNA (489 nucleotides) under Vitis vinifera (wine grape). RNAcentral's name for it is "long non-coding RNA (VVIN_LNC001752)". Lineage: Eukaryota; Viridiplantae; Streptophyta; Magnoliopsida; Vitales; Vitaceae. The record is from RNAcentral.
AGCCGUUCCUCCAGAUAUUCAUCUGAACGAGACAGGAGCCGGAGCAGAUCAUACUCCCCUUACUAUGGCCGUGGGCGGAGGUCAUACUCACGAUCUCACUCACCAUACAGCAGAUCACCUGUUGGCAGGCGGAACGGCUCCUACUCUCCUUAUGACAACAGGUAUUACUCACCAGAUGUUGGCUAUUAUAGAAGGCGGCAUUACCGAUCCAUCUCCCGCAGCCUUUCCCCACGUGAAAGGAGGCGGUUAAGGAGUUAUUCCCCACGUGAAAGGAGGCGCUUAAGGAGUUAUUCCCCAAGUGUCUCCCCCAGGCCAAGGAGGAGUUCAAGGAGGAGUUCCUCUCGCAGCAUUUCGCCAAGGCCAAGGAGAACGUCUAGGAGGAGCUAUUCUCGCAGCAUUUCACCUCGACCUAGGAGAUUGAAAAGGAGCCCAUACCGAGAAGCUUACUCAGGCAGCAGCGGAAGCGCCAGUUCCAGAUCGGUAUCAAGG